Molecule: ribosomal RNA, 253 nt
Filed under: uncultured bacterium
Lineage: Bacteria
Description: partial 16S ribosomal RNA
Rfam family: Bacterial small subunit ribosomal RNA
Source: RNAcentral
UACGUAGGGUGCGAGCGUUAAUCGGAAUUACUGGGCGUAAAGCGUGCGCAGGCGGUUAUGUAAGACAGGUGUGAAAUCCCCGGGCUUAACCUGGGAACUGCAUUUGUGACUGCAUAGCUAGAGUACGGUAGAGGGGGAUGGAAUUCCGCGUGUAGCAGUGAAAUGCGUAGAUAUCGGAAGGAACACCAGUGGCGAAAGCGGCUUCCUGGUCCAGCACCGACGUUCAGGCACGAAAGCGUGGGGAGCAAACAGG